UUUCACACAGGACAGCGACAAUGCGGCUUCUCUGCACCUCGGUUCUGUGGGUAGCAAUUCUAUCAGCUCUGAGUCAUGGAGAUUCUGUCACUCAGUCAUUCUCCUCAGAAGUUCGGACAGAAGGAUACGGUGUUACUCUAAGUUGUACCUAUGAAACUACAGCGAACUACUAUGUACUAUUCUGGUACCGACAGCAACCAGACACACAGCCUGAUUUUAUUCUGUUCAAAGAUACUCGUGGUUCUAAUGAUAAAGCAAAUUUUGCACAAGAUCGUUUCUCUAUGGAACUUCAGACCUCGAAGAAAUUCACAAGUUUGACUAUCACUGGGCUGCAGCUGACUGACACUGCCGUGUACUACUGCGGGUUCAGGAAUGACACAGUGAAGAGAAAGAGUCGCACCGCUGUACAAAAACAUCCGUGA
Molecule: non-coding RNA, 422 nt
Organism: Rhincodon typus (whale shark)
Lineage: Eukaryota; Metazoa; Chordata; Chondrichthyes; Orectolobiformes; Rhincodontidae
Source: the annotation of a RefSeq genome assembly